UGUGAGUGCACGCUAGCUAGCCUCCCACGUUGGCUAGUCUAGAAGAAACCAGCUGCGUCGCUGGCACUUUUCUAGUCUGGACUCGUCGCCUCGCAGAGCUUAUCUCCUCAGCUUCUUUCCAGUAAUCCACAUCCCCGACCUCUACCUACUACCCAAGUAGCACGACCUCCCCGCAUCUCCCCGCCGCCGCUACCUCUUACGCCCGCCGCCGGCACUUCGCCGGAUCUCCUGCACCACCGGGCAUGGCGCGGGCUCCACCCCAGCUCCCCCGACACUCCACCGGAUCUCCCGCACCACUACCGGGCCAUCCAUGGCGCAGGCUCCAACACCCGCUCCCCCCGUUUCCCCGGCCAUGGCGCGGGCAGUUGGGCGUAGGCGACCAUGCUCAUCCCAGCACCGGCCGUCUCGGUGCGCGUCCCGGUUUUCGUAUUUAGAUUGCUCUCUCCCCUCCUUGGCUAGGCAUCCAGUGCUGCUUUUUCUCUGGGAUGCGCUUUCUCCUCUUUGUUUGUUUGUGACAGCUGAGCCGUCUCUUCCGGGAGGUCGCGCAUCGGAAGAAGGCCGUCUCCCCCAAAAAGAAGUACCCGUGGCCUACCCUCGUCCCCGCUAUCCGCCGCCGACCGUACCUGGAUGGAUGCCUCCUCGAGGCCAAGCUUGCGCGUGGCUGCGGCAAUCCGGCUUUCUUGGUGUCAUACUCUAUCCACCAAAUGCGCAUUGGCGGUUGUGCAUUACGGCCUCUGCUUCCCUUCGUCGCGCCUGAUGCUUCCCAAGGCGCCCGCGCCCUCAAGCUCCAGCACCAGCCCCACAUUCCCGCAUCGCGCUGCAGCCCGCGUUCCUCUGCUCCGACCGCGCCCUCGCGCCUGACACCCGCGAUAGCGACUCCUCCGGCCCUCGCCACACCGGCGACCACCAAGAACCCUGUCACCUCCUUGCCUCCGCUUAGUGCAUGUCGCCAGGAGCGCCACCACCAUACUUCCUCCUGACGACUGCGGCAAGCAGCAGCGCCUUUCUUGGCUUCUGCGGCGUGGACGCCGGCGCUAAGUGACAGCGUGUACCCAUCGGUGGAGGCUGCGAAUGGAUAAGAGCCGGUACAAAAUAAGGAUUGGGGACUGCGGGCUGAAUUCCAACUAAUGCAGGGUUGUUUUGCAAAAACAAAACAUUUUUCCAGAGCGCCACUUAAACAGGGACUGUGGGUUGAUGUCAAAGAAACUCAGGGGCUUUUUCACAAAAACACCGACGACGUACGACCAGAAGCAGUAUUUGCUUUAUUAGUAGAAAAAAGAUUUGCAUUUCUAGUUUUGUGAUUCUAAAAUCCUAAGCAACUCAAGGACCAAGAGAGAGAGUUGGGGAUUUUAUUAUUUUUCAUAUUUGAAUUUUCUCAAAUA
Long non-coding RNA from Triticum aestivum (bread wheat), 1382 nucleotides. RefSeq lists it as uncharacterized. The transcript has 2 exons. The record is from RefSeq and is a predicted model, not a curated record. NCBI's taxonomy places the organism in Eukaryota, Viridiplantae, Streptophyta, Magnoliopsida, Poales, Poaceae.